Molecule: ribosomal RNA, 465 nt
Filed under: uncultured bacterium
Lineage: Bacteria
Description: partial 16S ribosomal RNA
Rfam family: Bacterial small subunit ribosomal RNA
Source: RNAcentral
UCUACGGGUGGCUGCAGUGGGGAAUUUUGCGCAAUGCUCGUAAGAGUGACGCAGCGACGCCGCGUGAAUGACGAAGGCCUUCGGGUCGUAAAGUUCUUUCGACAGGGAAGAAAAUGCAAAUAAGUAACUGUGUCUGUAUUGACGGUACCUGUAUAAGCAGCGCCGGCUAACUCCGUGCCAGCAGCCGCGGUAAUACGGUGGGGGCGAGCGUUGGUCGGCGUGACUGGGCGUAAAGAUCACGUAGGCGGUGUUGUAAGUCAUUAGUCAAAGACUAGAGCUCAACUUUAGUAAGGCUAGUGAUACUAUAAUACGAGAGUAUCAGAGAGGAGUGCAGAAUUCCUGGUGUAGCGGUGAAAUGUGUAGAUAUCAGGAGGAAUACCGUUAGCGAAGGCGGCAAUCUGGCUGGAAACUGACGCUGAGGUGCGAAAGCGUGGGUAGCAAACAGGAUUAGAUACCCUAGUAGUC